RNAcentral lists this long non-coding RNA (532 nucleotides) under Elaeis guineensis (African oil palm). RNAcentral's name for it is "long non-coding RNA (EGUI_LNC060184)". Lineage: Eukaryota; Viridiplantae; Streptophyta; Magnoliopsida; Arecales; Arecaceae. The record is from RNAcentral.
UCAUGGAAUUUAACAGUUCUUGUAUUGAUGGUGAAUAUCAUCUCACACACUACAUGUUGCUGCCAAACCUUGGCGGAUGAUAUGUCCGGAGAACUAUCAGGUGCCGUGAAGAAUACAAUCCAUUCGUGAGGGCUGACGGACCUACAAAAAAUAUCCACUUGCCAGAAUGUGUCCAUUAAGAGCCCUCCGAUAGUUAAGUUAGUCGGAGUUUAGGAAACAGUCGAAUGAGAAAAUCACGAGAAAACAUUAGAAAAAGUUUACCCCCAGUCCCUUUUUCAUCUCUCUUUAUAUAGAGGUGAGAUUCUUACCAUUAUCUCAUAAAUUUCGCCUCAUGGGGCAUGAAAGUUACGGAAUUGGUAGAGAUUGGAGUGAGUAGCUAAUGUCCUCCCGAUCAUGUCAUCAUGGAGUUAAAUCACCAUAAUCACAUCAUCGUAGAUAGUUAAUCCUGCUUUCGCAUUCCGCAACUACAUCCAUGAUUCCUAUUUUUCCGGAUCAUUAGUUAUGGGACGAGAUCAAUUGGAAAUCAAGCACC